CCCGGAGAACUGAAACAUCUAAGUAUCCGGAGGAGAAGAAAACAAAAAGUGAUUCCGUAAGUAGCGGCGAGCGAACGCGGAGUAGCCCAAACCCAAUUUGUUAAGGCAAAUUGGGGGUAAUAGGACCUCGAUAUUCAAUGCUUGCAGAACUAGAAACUACUGGAAAGUAGUACCACAGAGGGUGAUAGUCCCGUAUAGGUAAUAAGAGUUAUUGAUAGAGGUAUCCUGAGUAGUGCGGGGCACGUGAAACCUUGCAUGAAUUUGCCGGGACCAUCCGGUAAGGCUAAAUACUCCUGAGAGACCGAUAGUGAACCAGUACCGUGAGGGAAAGGUGAAAAGAACCCUGAAUAAGGGAGUGAAAUAGAACCUGAAACCAUGCGCUUACAAGCGGUCGGAGUCCCAAUUUAUUGGGAUGACGGCGUGCCUUUUGCAUAAUGAGCCUACGAGUUACCGUUGUUAGCAUGGUUAAUCCAUUUUGUGGAGAAUCCGCAGCGAAAGCGAGUCUGAAUAGGGCGACUAAGUUAGCAGUGGUAGACGCGAAACCGAGUGAUCUAUCCAUGAGCAGGUUGAAGCUGUGGUAACACAUAGUGGAGGACCGAACCCGUUGACGUUGAAAAGUCUUGGGAUGACUUGUGGAUAGGGGUGAAAGGCCAAUCAAACUCGGAAAUAGCUCG
This 674-nucleotide ribosomal RNA is filed under the name uncultured bacterium. Its description in RNAcentral is "bacterial LSU rRNA". It matches the Rfam family "Bacterial large subunit ribosomal RNA", at positions 184 to 852 of the family's 2925-position model. The record is from RNAcentral.